GACGAACGCUGGCGGCGUGCUUAACACAUGCAAGUCGAACGGAAAGGCCCUGCUUGCAGGGUACUCGAGUGGCGAACGGGUGAGUAACACGUGGGUGAUCUGCCCUGCACUUCGGGAUAAGCCUGGGAAACUGGGUCUAAUACCGGAUAGGAGCCAUUUUUAGUGUGAUGGUUGGAACGUUUUUUCGGUGUAGGAUGAGCUCGCGGCCUAUCAGCUUGUUGGUGGGGUAAUGGCCUACCAAGGCGGCGGCGGGGAGCCGGCCUGAGAGGGUGGACGGCCACAUUGGGACUGAGAUACGGCCCAGACUCCUACGGGAGGCAGCAGUGGGGAAGAGUGCACAAUGGGCGCAAGCCUGAUGCAGCGACGCCGCGUGGGGGAUGACGGCCUUCGGGUUGUAAACUCCUUUCGCUAGGGACGAAGCUUUUUGUGACGGUACCUAGAUAAGAAGCACCGGCUAACUACGUG
RNAcentral lists this ribosomal RNA (465 nucleotides) under uncultured bacterium. Its description in RNAcentral is "partial 16S ribosomal RNA". It matches the Rfam family "Bacterial small subunit ribosomal RNA", at positions 28 to 507 of the family's 1533-position model. The record is from RNAcentral.